This 58-nucleotide transfer RNA is filed under the name Salmo salar (Atlantic salmon). It matches the Rfam family "tRNA", at positions 8 to 63 of the family's 71-position model. From Rfam's summary of the family: Transfer RNA (tRNA) molecules are approximately 80 nucleotides in length. Lineage: Eukaryota; Metazoa; Chordata; Actinopteri; Salmoniformes; Salmonidae. The record is from Rfam by way of RNAcentral.
UGGCUCAGUUGGUAGAGCAUGGAACUUGCAAUGCCAGGAUUGUGGGUUCGAUUCCCAC